RNAcentral lists this ribosomal RNA (253 nucleotides) under uncultured bacterium. Its description in RNAcentral is "partial 16S ribosomal RNA". It matches the Rfam family "Bacterial small subunit ribosomal RNA", at positions 524 to 776 of the family's 1533-position model. The record is from RNAcentral.
GACGAACCACACAAACGUUAUUCGGAAUUACUGGGCUUAAAGGGUGCGUAGGCGGCGCGGAAAGUUGGGUGUGAAAUCCCUCGGCUCAACCGAGGAACUGCGCCCAAAACUACCGUGCUCGAGGGAGAUAGAGGUGAGCGGAACUUAGGGUGGAGCGGUGAAAUGCGUUGAUAUCCUAAGGAACGCCCGUGGCGAAAGCGGCUCACUGGGUCUUCUCUGACGCUGAGGCACGAAAGCUAGGGUAGCGAACGGG